This 201-nucleotide ribosomal RNA is filed under the name uncultured bacterium. RNAcentral's name for it is "partial 16S ribosomal RNA". It matches the Rfam family "Bacterial small subunit ribosomal RNA", at positions 524 to 717 of the family's 1533-position model. The record is from RNAcentral.
UACGAAGGGGACUAGCGUUGUUCGGAAUUACUGGGCGUAAAGCGCACGUAGGCGGAUUUGUAAGUCAGGGGUGAAAUCCCGGGGCUCAACCUCGGAACUGCCCUUUGAUACUGCAAAUCUCGAGUCCGAUAGAGGUGGGGUGGAAUUCCUAAGUGUAGAGGGUGAAAAUUCGUUAGAUAUUAGGAAAGGAAACACCCAGUG